AGAGUUUGAUCAUGGCUCAGAAUGAACGUUGGCGGUGCGCCUUAUGCAUGCAAGUCGAACGGGGUUACGGUCUUCGGAUUGUAACCUAGUGGCGAAUGGCUGAGUAACACGUAAGUAACCUGCCUUGGAGUGGGAAAUAACUUGCCGAAAGGCAAGCUAAUGUCCCAUGUGGUAACGAAGCAAAUGCUUGGUUAUUAAAGCCUUAGGGUGCUCCAAGAGGGACUUGCGUCUGAUUAGCUAGUUGGUAGGGUAAUGGCCUACCAAGGCGAUGAUCAGUAGCUGGUCUGAGAGGAUGGUCAGCCAGAUGGGGACUGAGACACGGCCCCAACUCCUACGGGAGGCAGCAGCAAGGAAUCUUGGGCAAUGAGCGAAAGCUUGACCCAGCGACACCGCGUGAGGGAGGAAGGCCUUCGGGUUGUAAACCUCUUUUCUUGGGGAAGAAUUCUGACGGUACCCAAGGAAUAAGCCUCGGCCAACUACGUGCCAGCAGCCGCGGUAAUACGUAGGAGGCGAACGUUAUUCGGAUUUACUGGGCGUAAAGGGAGCGUAGGCGGUUCCUUAAGUCAGAUGUGAAACCUUCUGAUUCAAUCAGAAGGCGUCAUUUGAUACUGAGGGACUUGAGAAUAGCAGAGGGAAAUGGAAUCCCCAGUGUAGCGGUGAAAUGCGUAGAUAUUGGGGAGAACACCAGUGGCGAGGGCGA
This 700-nucleotide ribosomal RNA is filed under the name uncultured bacterium. RNAcentral describes it as "bacterial SSU rRNA". It matches the Rfam family "Bacterial small subunit ribosomal RNA", at positions 8 to 724 of the family's 1533-position model. The record is from RNAcentral.